Molecule: non-coding RNA, 391 nt
Organism: Picea glauca (white spruce)
Lineage: Eukaryota; Viridiplantae; Streptophyta; Pinopsida; Pinales; Pinaceae
Source: Rfam
CGACCCCAGCUCAGGCGAGAACACCCGCUGAGUUUAAGCAUAUAAUUAAGCGGAGGAAAAGAAACUUACAAGGAUUCCCUUAGUAACAGCGAGCGAAUCGGGAAGAGACCAGCAUGAAAAUCGGGUGGCAGCGUCCCCUAAAUUGUAGUCUGUAGAAGCGUCCUUAGCGGCAGACUGGGCCCAAGUCCCCUGGAAGGGGGCGCCUGAGAGGGUGAAAGCCCCAUCGGGCCUGGACCCUGUCACACCACGAGGCAUUGUCAGCGAGUCGGGUUGUUUGGGAAUGCAGCCCUAAUCGGGUGGUAAAUUCCAUCCAAGGAUAAAUACGGGCGAGAGACCGAUAGCGAACAAGUAACACGAGGGAAAGAUGAAAAGGACUUUGAAGGAUGGAGGC